UGGGGAAUAUUGGACAAUGGGGGGAACCCUGAUCCAGCCAUGCCGCGUGUGUGAAGAAGGCCUUAUGGUUGUAAAGCACUUUAAGCGAGGAGGAGGGUACUGGUAUUAAUACUACCAGCUACUGGACGUUACUCGCAGAAUAAGCACCGGCUAACUCUGUGCCAGCAGCCGCGGUAAUACAGAGGGUGCGAGCGUUAAUCGGAUUUACUGGGCGUAAAGCGUGCGUAGGCGGCUAAUUGAGUCGGAUGUGAAAUCCCCGAGCUUAACUUGGGAAAUGCAUUCGAUACUGGUUAGCUAGAGUGUGGGAGAGGAUGGUAGAAUUCCAGGUGUGGCGGUGAAAUGCGUAGAGAUCUGGAAGAAUACCGAUGGCGGAGGCAGCCAUCUGGCCUAACACUGACACUGAGGUACGAAAGCAUGGGGAGCAAACAGG
Molecule: ribosomal RNA, 430 nt
Filed under: Pseudomonadota bacterium
Lineage: Bacteria; Pseudomonadati; Pseudomonadota
Description: Proteobacteria bacterium partial 16S ribosomal RNA
Rfam family: Bacterial small subunit ribosomal RNA
Source: RNAcentral